This is a non-coding RNA of Bombyx mori (domestic silkworm), 83 nucleotides long. NCBI's taxonomy places the organism in Eukaryota, Metazoa, Arthropoda, Insecta, Lepidoptera, Bombycidae. The record is from Rfam.
UUAACUCAAAUUUGUAUGAAGUUGGAACGUUUGCCUAUGUUUGGCGCUAGGGGCGCUGUUCCAACUGCAUACAAUUAGAGUUG